UUUAAUGUGCGAAGUCUGUUCCCCUGUUUGGCGUUCAAUUUUCGCCUGAAAGGUUUUAAGACUUCGUAGAUCAAAUAUAAGCAAUCAUUCACCCGCAUCCAAGUGAAGCUCAAUUGGUUCGUGGUUUUGGAUUGGCUUACAAGAAUAAUA
Molecule: small nucleolar RNA, 150 nt
Organism: Drosophila melanogaster (fruit fly)
Lineage: Eukaryota; Metazoa; Arthropoda; Insecta; Diptera; Drosophilidae
Source: Ensembl